Pelobates cultripes (western spadefoot toad) is the source of this 449-nucleotide non-coding RNA. The record is from the annotation of a GenBank genome assembly. NCBI's taxonomy places the organism in Eukaryota, Metazoa, Chordata, Amphibia, Anura, Pelobatidae.
UAACACUCUAGUGAAUUCAUUUUAUUUGCACUGCUGUUGACAACUAUGAUACUGCAUACAAUAUAAAGUGACUCGUGACAUAAGACACUAAACAUUCGAUAAACCUUGCUUUCAUUUAAUAAAGUGAGAAUUCAAAGUGAAUUUUAAAUUAAAGGGUGGCUAUAAGACCUACAAGCAUUCCUGACUGAGAAUGUUUCAAGUUCAGCUAUUUUGCACUUAAAUGUUAAAUUUACUUUGAAUUCACUUUUAAUUCUUGCUUCAGUGAAUAACCUUGUCUGUAAAAUAGUAUCCAAUUCUAUAUGGCACAAGGCAUUCUAGUAAAUGGAAUAUUGGUUCUUGCCUUCCAACUGCUCGACUCUGUGAAGUAAGAAUUGCAACACUUUAAUUGUAUGCUUUGCUUCUGAAAAUAAAUAGUACAAAACAAAAGACAUAAAAGUUUUAUGAACAGU